Molecule: long non-coding RNA, 1134 nt
Filed under: Equus caballus (horse)
Lineage: Eukaryota; Metazoa; Chordata; Mammalia; Perissodactyla; Equidae
Description: lncRNA (ENSECAG00000047341.1)
Source: RNAcentral
CUGUCAUUCUACUUCAAAGGGCCGGUAAGGACUUUACUCCUAACCAGGAAUGGAAUGAAAGCAAAGUUGUUUUCUACUCUUUUAACCCACCUAGAGCUGAACUUGUCUACUGUCAAAAGCCAAAGUUUCCAGAUGGCUGUUGGUGAUUAUGCUGGGCUCCUUGGUGGGCAAUCCUGCUCCAUUUUUCUCAACUCUGCUCCUGUCAUUCUGGAAUUCUGUUGUCUCAUUACCCGAACAAACAAUGGUACUUAUUCUCUGAUUGGAAAGUCUAGCCACCUGGGACAUGAGAGACAUGAAAAUUCAGACUUAAAGACUGCACAUUUGCCUUUGAUCAUCUUACAGGGAUUGUAACUUCUUUUGAUGUCUACUAGCAGCUCCAGAAUUAAAUCCUCAACAGAAGAAGAGUUUCUUUCUUCCUAAGAAUUGUGUCUAGUCCUGAGUCACCUGCUGGAGCCAGAGAUGGACCACACCAUGUGAACCGCGUGAGCUGAGAAUAGGAAGGAAUGAUUCCCAAGGGGAAAUCGAGAGCUGUUGCCAAAAGAAGGGGAAUGGAUGCUGGUGAGAGGGGCAUAAGCGCACACUGUGUACUACAGCACUUGUGUUGAUACUGAAAAGGUGAUCUGCUGUAACCAUGGGGACUUGGUGUAACCCCUUUUCAUGAUGAUUAUUCUCUCAUGCACCAUAUUUCCUACAACAAAUGGCUGUAUUUUUUUCUUUUAAUUUUGAAAAGAAUAAAAAAGGAAAAUGCAAAGAACAAUGCAACCAUCACCCAAGGCCCCUCUACCUAGAAUUCGUAAAUGUUAACAUUUUGCCACUUUUGCCGCAGAUUUACAUAAAUGUUUGUAUGAGAAAUCUUACGUAUAUGCAAAAUGAAGUUGCUCUCUCCACAGACCUGUAUCUGUAUUUUCUUUUCUAGAAGCAAUAACUAUAUGAUUUGAUUUUUUACGAACUAUUUAAGACUUACAAAAAGGCAGAUAGACUAACAACACCAAUGCUUUAGUAGUCAUAAUUAAACCUUAGACAUAAGAUAUUGCCAAUUAAAGCCCCUGUGUGCACCUCCCUAACCCCUCUCCUCCCCUUCCACGGAGGGCGGGGGGAGCGGGGAGCACCCGCUAAGCUCAGUGUUUAUCGCUU